AGGGCGCGUAGGCGGAUUAUCAAGUCUCUUGUGAAAUCUAAUGGCUUAACCAUUAAACUGCUUGGGAAACUGAUAGUCUAGAGUGAGGGAGAGGCAGAUGGAAUUGGUGGUGUAGGGGUAAAAUCCGUAGAUAUCACCAAGAAUACCCAUUGCGAAGGCGAUCUGCUGGAACUCAACUGACGCUAAGGCGCGAAAGCGUGGGGAGCAAACAGGAUUAGAUACCCUGGUAGUCCACGCCCUAAACGAUGUACACUAGUUGUUGGGAUGCUAGUCAUCUCAGUAAUGCAGCUAACGCAUUAAGUGUACCGCCUGGGGAGUACGGUCGCAAGAUUAAAACUCAAAGGAAUAGACGGGGACCCGCACAAGCGGUGGAGCAUGUGGUUUAAUUCGAAGAUACGCGAAGAACCUUACCUGGGCUUGAUAUCCUAAGAACCUUUUAGAGAUAAGAGGGUGCUAGCUUGCUAGAACUUAGAGACAGGUGCUGCACGGCUGUCGUCAGCUCGUGUCGUGAGAUGUUGGGUUAAGUCCCGCAACGAGCGCAACCCACGUAUUUAGUUGCUAACGGUUCGGCCGAGCACUCUAAAUAGACUGCCUUCGUAAGGAGGAGGAAGGUGUGGACGACGUCAAGUCAUCAUGGCCCUUAUGCCCAGGGCGACACACGUGCUACAAUGGCAUAUACAAUGAGACGCAAUACCGCGAGGUGGAGCAAAUCUAUAAAAUAUGUCCCAGUUCGGAUUGUUCUCUGCAACUCGAGAGCAUGAAGCCGGAAUCGCUAGUAAUCGUAGAUCAGCCAUGCUACGGUGAAUACGUUCCCGGGUCUUGU
Molecule: ribosomal RNA, 823 nt
Filed under: uncultured Campylobacter sp.
Lineage: Bacteria; Pseudomonadati; Campylobacterota; Epsilonproteobacteria; Campylobacterales; Campylobacteraceae
Description: bacterial SSU rRNA
Rfam family: Bacterial small subunit ribosomal RNA
Source: RNAcentral